GAUGAACGCUGGCGGCGUGCCUAAUACAUGCAAGUAGAACGCUGAAGGAAGGAGCUUGCUCUUUCCGGAUGAGUUGCGAACGGGUGAGUAACGCGUAUGUAACCUGCCUGGUAGCGGGGGAUCACUAUUGGAAACGAUAGCUAAUACCGCAUAACAUUAGAUGUUGCAUGAUAUCUACUUAAAAGUUGCAAUUUCACCACUACCAGAUGGACCUGCGGUGUAUUAGCUAGUUGGUGAGGUAACGGCUCACCAAGGCGACGAUACAUAGCCGACCUGAGAGGGUGAUCGGCCACACUGGGACUGAGACACGGCCCAGACGCCUACGGGAGGCAGCAGUAGGGAAUCUUCGGCAAGGGACGGAAGUCUGACCGAGCAACGCCGAGGGAGGGAAGAAGGUUGUCGGAUCGGAAAGCUCUGUUGUCAGAGAAGAACGAGUGUGAGAGUGGAAAGUUCACAGUGUGACGGUAACUGAUCAGAAAGGGACGGCUAACUACGUG
Molecule: ribosomal RNA, 497 nt
Filed under: uncultured bacterium
Lineage: Bacteria
Description: partial 16S ribosomal RNA
Rfam family: Bacterial small subunit ribosomal RNA
Source: RNAcentral